Molecule: ribosomal RNA, 253 nt
Filed under: uncultured bacterium
Lineage: Bacteria
Description: partial 16S ribosomal RNA
Rfam family: Bacterial small subunit ribosomal RNA
Source: RNAcentral
UACGUAGGGAGCAAGCGUUGUCCGGAAUCAUUGGGCGUAAAGCGCGCGUAGGCGGCCCGGUAAGUCCGUUGUGAAAGUCAAAGGCUCAACCUUUGAAUGCCGAUGGAUACUGCCGGGCUAGAGUCCGGAAGAGGCGAGUGGAAUUCCUGGUGUAGCGGUGGAAUGCGCAGAGAUCAGGAGGAACACCCGUAGCGAAGGCGGCACUCUGGGCCGAUACUGACACUGAGGAGCGAAAGCGUGGGGAGCGAACAGG